Molecule: ribosomal RNA, 681 nt
Filed under: uncultured Staphylococcus sp.
Lineage: Bacteria; Bacillati; Bacillota; Bacilli; Caryophanales; Staphylococcaceae
Description: bacterial SSU rRNA
Rfam family: Bacterial small subunit ribosomal RNA
Source: RNAcentral
AUAACCUACCUAUAAGACUAGGGAUAACUUUCGGGAAACCAGGAGCUAAUACACGGAUAAUAUUUNUGAACCGCAUGGUUCAAAAGUAAAAGACGGUCUUGCUGUCACUUAUAGAUGGAUCCGCGCUGCAUUAGCUAGUUGGUAAGGUAACGGCUUACCAAGGCAACGAUGCAUAGCCGACCUGAGAGGGUGAUCGGCCACACUGGAACUGAGACACGGUCCAGACUCCUACGGGAGGCAGCAGUAGGGAAUCCUCCGCAAUGGGCGAAAGCCUGACGGAGCAACGCCGCGUGAGUGAUGAAGGUCUUCGGAUCGUAAAACUCUGUUAUUAGGGAAGAACAUAUGUGUAAGUGACUGUGCACAUCUUGACGGUACCUAAUCAGAAAGCCACGGCUAACUACGUGCCAGCAGCCGCGGUAAUACGUAGGUGGCAAGCGUUAUCCGGAAUUAUUGGGCGUAAAGCGCGCGUAGGCGGUUUUUUAAGUCUGAUGUGAAAGCCCACGGCUCAACCGUGGAGGGUCAUUGGAAACUGGAAAACUUGAGUGCAGAAGAGGAAAGUGGAAUUCCAUGUGUAGCGGCGAAAUGCGCAGAGAUAUGGAGGAACACCAGUGGCGAAGGCGACUUUCUGGUCUGUAACUGACGCUGAUGUGCGAAAGCGUGGGGAUCAAACAGGAUUAGAUA